UCAGUGGAAGUGGAAGUGGAAGUGGAAUAAACUGAGAAGCCGCAGGCUUCGAUACUAAAGAGCUACCGAAUUAAUUUUGUGAGGAACUUAGAAAAAUCCUAGCCCUGAAUAUAUUGAAGAAUGCAGUUGGCAGAACUAUAGACAGGAAUAUCUUACAUCUUGUCAUCAACAUAUGAAAAGCUACAUAAAAAAGAAGGGGAAUGUAAACAGAAAAUAGCUUUAAAAAAAACUAGAGAGCAAGAUAUAGAAAAGGGUCUUUCAUAUCAUUAUAUGUAUGAAAAUAAAUACAAUCUAUUGAAAAGAAGGGAAGAAGAAAAAUGCAACAUCAAUACCAUGAAUCAUCCAUCAUCAUCCUCGUAUGAAUAGCAUGAGAAUUAAAAGCCAGAUUCUCUUGCAGGGAUACAAAGAUAAGGAGAUGGGGAGAUGGGUUCUUCUUCGUGUAAGUUGUUUGUUGCUUUUCCUUUUUCUUAGAAACUAUAGGACUGCUUAACAUAGAUCAUUUAACCAAAAGAAGUAUAUAAAUACGAUGAUGAGAAUAAUCUAAAACUAAGCACCGAAAACCAUAACUUUUACAAUUGCCUGGCUCCAUCCUGUCUGCCUAUUUUGUUUUUCUAUUCUAUGAAGCAAUGUUAUCGUAACUGGUGUGUACUGAGAUGGACAAAGAAAGAGAAAGAGUUUACAUAAGAUUGCAGUCUUGAAGCUUUAAUGUUGGUUGUAUCCAAGUGGACUACAAAGGGAAAUAUGAAUGGAAGGAUAAUCUGGUCUCAUCAGUCCCCAUUAUAGAGAAAUGGGUGGUUGAGAAAGCUGAGAACUGCUUGUUAUCUGGAGCCAUAUUCUUAAUCUUUUCCCUUUGAGGCCCUCCCCCAACCCCACCAAAAGAAAAAGUCUGGUGGCUUCAAAGAGAGAAUAACAGGUAUGAAGUAUGAAGUUUGAGAGAGGACAUGGAGAUGGGGUUAUAAAAGAGGGACCCAGCUGAGCUGCCUUGAACGGGGAGGAACUAGGAAGAUGAAUGAAAGAGAGGCAGAAUAAGGGCAGUUUUAUGCAUGCGGGUGAAUAAACUUUUUUCUAGGGACCAAGGCCAACGCCAACGCCAAAGCCGAAGCCUAAGCAAUUGCUUUUUGGGGAAUUGUUGGCUUUAGGUGGCCUGGCCGGUGAAAGAGCCCUUUCAACUUACCCUUUGGUCUGUUUUUUCUGGUAAGAUAUGUCAAACUCUCUUUCAUUGUCUUUGCUACUUAUUUUAAUUUUAGGUCAAGUUUUAUGGGAAACCGAUUUCCUUCUAAUGCAUUUAAAUUUUGAAUUUCAAAUAUAUAUUUUAACAACUUCAUAAGCUAUAUUUAUAUUUUUAACUUAUUUUAUUACUUAAAGUUUAAUUAUAUUCACCGGUUUAUAUUUUAGAAAUAUCAAAAAAUAUAUCAAAAAAAUUUAAAAAUUUAAUUAAACAUUAGAAAAUUUUGGGAUAAUAUAGGAAAAGAGAAAUGAAUAACAAAACAAAGAAGAGAAAAAAGCUCAAACAUCAU
This 1517-nucleotide long non-coding RNA is filed under the name Gossypium raimondii (Peruvian cotton). Its description in RNAcentral is "long non-coding RNA (GRAI_LNC006313)". Lineage: Eukaryota; Viridiplantae; Streptophyta; Magnoliopsida; Malvales; Malvaceae. The record is from RNAcentral.